This 488-nucleotide ribosomal RNA is filed under the name uncultured bacterium. RNAcentral's name for it is "bacterial SSU rRNA". It matches the Rfam family "Bacterial small subunit ribosomal RNA", at positions 28 to 524 of the family's 1533-position model. The record is from RNAcentral.
GACGAAGGCUGGCGGCGUGCCUAACACAUGCAAGUCGAACGAGAUCCAUGGGAGCUUGCUCCCGGAAGAUCUAGUGGCGAACGGGUGAGUAACACGUGAGAAACCUGCCCUGGAGUGGGGAAUAACUCGGGGAAACUCGAGCUAAUACCGCAUACCCUCGGAUGGUCGCAUGGCCGACCGAGGAAAGAUUUAUCGCUCUAGGAGGGUCUCGCGGCCUAUCAGCUAGUUGGUGGGGUAACGGCCUACCAAGGCAACGACGGGUAGCUGGUUUGAGAGAACGAUCAGCCACACUGGGACUGAGACACGGCCCAGACUCCUACGGGAGGCAGCAGUGGGGAAUCUUGCGCAAUGGGCGAAAGCCUGACGCAGCAACGCCGCGUGCGGGAUGACGGCCUUCGUGGUUGUAAACCGCUUUCAGCAGGGACGAAAAUAGACGGUACCUGCAGAAGAAGACCCCGGCUAACUACGUAGCCAGCAGCCGCGGUAAU